Molecule: ribosomal RNA, 459 nt
Filed under: uncultured bacterium
Lineage: Bacteria
Description: bacterial SSU rRNA
Rfam family: Bacterial small subunit ribosomal RNA
Source: RNAcentral
UCCAGCAAUGCCGCGUGUGUGAAGAAGGCCUUCGGGUUGUAAAGCACUUUUGUCCGGAAAGAAAACCUCGUGGUUAAUACCCGUGGGGGAUGACGGUACCGGAAGAAUAAGCACCGGCUAACUACGUGCCAGCAGCCGCGGUAAUACGUAGGGUGCAAGCGUUAAUCGGAAUUACUGGGCGUAAAGCGUGCGCAGGCGGUUCGCUAAGACAGAUGUGAAAUCCCCGGGCUUAACCUGGGAACUGCAUUUGUGACUGGCGGGCUAGAGUAUGGCAGAGGGGGGUAGAAUUCCACGUGUAGCAGUGAAAUGCGUAGAGAUGUGGAGGAAUACCGAUGGCGAAGGCAGCCCCCUGGGCCAAUACUGACGCUCAUGCACGAAAGCGUGGGGAGCAAACAGGAUUAGAUACCCUGGUAGUCCACGCCCUAAACGAUGUCAACUAGUUGUCGGGUCUUCAUUGAC